AACGAACGCUGGCGGCAUGCCUAACACAUGCAAGUCGAACGAGACCUUCGGGUCUAGUGGCGCACGGGUGCGUAACGCGUGGGAAUCUGCCCUUGGGUUCGGAACAACAGUUGGAAACGACUGCUAAUACCGGAUGAUGACUUCGGUCCAAAGAUUUAUCGCCCAGGGAUGAGCCCGCGUAGGAUUAGCUUGUUGGUGAGGUAAAAGCUCACCAAGGCGACGAUCCUUAGCUGGUCUGAGAGGAUGAUCAGCCACACUGGGACUGAGACACGGCCCAGACUCCUACGGGAGGCAGCAGUGGGGAAUAUUGGACAAUGGGCGAAAGCCUGAUCCAGCAAUGCCGCGUGAGUGAUGAAGGCCUUAGGGUUGUAAAGCUCUUUUACCCGGGAUGAUAAUGACAGUACCGGGAGAAUAAGCCCCGGCUAACUUCGUGCCAGCCGCCGCAGUAA
Molecule: ribosomal RNA, 449 nt
Filed under: uncultured bacterium
Lineage: Bacteria
Description: partial 16S ribosomal RNA
Rfam family: Bacterial small subunit ribosomal RNA
Source: RNAcentral